This 482-nucleotide ribosomal RNA is filed under the name uncultured bacterium. RNAcentral's name for it is "partial 16S ribosomal RNA". It matches the Rfam family "Bacterial small subunit ribosomal RNA", at positions 30 to 507 of the family's 1533-position model. The record is from RNAcentral.
AUUGAACGCUGGCGGCAUGCUUUACACAUGCAAGUCGAACGGUAACAGGCCGCAAGGUGCUGACGAGUGGCGAACGGGUGAGUAAUGCAUCGGAACGUGCCCAGUCGUGGGGGAUAACUACUCGAAAGAGUAGCUAAUACCUCAUACGAUCUAUGGAUGAAAGCGGGGGACCGUAAGGCCUCGCGCGAUUGUAGCGGCCGAUGUCAGAUUAGGUAGUUGGUGGGGUAAAGGCUCACCAAGCCAACGAUCUGUAGCUGGUCUGAGAGGACGACCAGCCACACUGGGACUGAGACACGGCCCAGACUCCUACGGGAGGCAGCAGUGGGGAAUUUUGGACAAUGGGCGCAAGCCUGAUCCAGCAAUGCCGCGUGCAGGAAGAAGGCCUUCGGGUUGUAAACUGCUUUUGUACGGAACGAAACGGCUCUGGUUAAUACCCGGGGCUAAUGACGGUACCGUAAGAAUAAGCACCGGCUAACUACGUG